UUGACCUCGGGUCGGACAAGACUACCCGCUGAACUUAAGCAUAUCAAUAAGCGGAGGAAAAGAAACCAACAGGGAUUGCCCCAGUAACGGCGAGUGAAGCGGCAACAGCCCAGAUUUGAAAUCCGGCCCCGGCCCGAGUUGUAAUCUGCAGAUGAGUCUUCGGGCAAGGCGCCGUCCAAGUUCCCUGGAAUGGGACGCCGGAGAGGGUGAGAGCCCCGUACCGACGGCCGCCGCGCCUGUGAGAAGCUCAUUCGAAGAGUCGAGUAGUUUGGAAAUGCUGCUCUAAUUGCGGGGUAAAUCUCCCGUAAGGCUAAAUACCGGCCAGAGACCGAUAGCGCACAAGUAGCGUGAGCGAAAGAUGAAAAGAGCCUUGAAUAAGGGCGUCAAAAAGUAUGUGAAAUUGUUGUGGGGGAAGCGCUUGGCGCCAGACGUGGCGGCGGUUGGUUACCCGGCGUUCCUCGCCGGCGCACUCUGCCGUCGCCAGGCCAGCAUCGGUUCGGCCCGGGACACACUGACGCGAGGAACGUGGCCCCUCGGGGUGUUAUAGCCUCGCGGAGACGUCCCGCGCCGGACCGAGGAUCGCGCUUCGGCUCGGAUGCUGGCGUAAUGGCGCCCAGCGACCCGUCUUGAAACACGGACCAAGGAGUUGACCUAGCCCGCGAGUGUUUGGGUGUCAAGCCCUCACGCGCAGUGAAAGCGAACGCAGGUGGGAGCCUCGGCGCACCAUCGACCGAUCCCGAAGUUCACGGACGGAUUUGAGUAGGAGCGUGCUGGGUCUGACCCGAAAGAAGGUGAACUAUGCAUGAAUAGGGUGAAGCCAGAGGAAACUCUGGUGGAGGCUCGCAGCGGUUCUGACGUGCAAAUCGAUCGUCAAAUUUGUGCAUGGGGGCGAAAGACCAAUCGAACCUUCUAGUAGCUGGUUCCUGCCGAAGUUUCCCUCAGGAUAGCAGAGUUGAUCCUCAGUUUCAUGAGGUAAAGCGAAUGAUUAGAGACUCGGGGGCUACAUACUGCCUUCAUCUAUUCUCAAACUUUAAAUAUGUGAGAAGCCUCGUGUUACUUCGGUGAACGCAGGCCUUUGAAUGAAUCAACUCUAGUGGGCCAUUUUUGGUAAGCAGAACUGGCGAUGUGGGAUGAACCAUACGGGGGUUUAAGGUGCCGGAGUGGACGCUCAUCAGACACCACAAAAGGUGUUAGCACAUCUUGACAGCAGGACGGUGGCCAUGGAAGUCGGAACCCGCUAAGGACUGUGUAACAACUCACCUGCCGAAUGUGCUAGCCCUGAAAAUGGAUGGCGCUAAGCGUCCCACCUAUAACCCCCCCUCAGGGUAGGAUCGUCGCCCUGAGGAGUAGGCAGGCGCGGGGGUCCGUGACGAAGCCCAGGGCGUGAGCCCGGGUCGAACGGCCCCUGGUGCGGAUCUUGGUGGUACGUUCCCCCCCCCCUAGAAGCCCCCACCCGGAGGCGGAUGCUAACUCUCGCCAACAGGUAGUAGCAAAUACUUCAAUGAGAACUUGAAGGACCAAAGUGGAGAAAGGUUCCACGCGAACAGCGGUUGGACGUGGGUCAGUCGGUCCUGAGCCAUAGGGAAGUUCCGUUUCAAAGGGGCACUACCGCCCCGUAUGGCGAAAGGGAAGCUGGUCAAGAUCCCAGCACGGGGAUGUGGGUUUUUCGCGGCAACGCAACCAGACUCGGAGACGGCGGCGGGGGCCCAGGGAGGAGUUAUCUUUUCUUCUUAACGGCCCAGCGACCCUGAAA
RNAcentral lists this ribosomal RNA (1753 nucleotides) under Helicoascotaiwania lacustris. Its description in RNAcentral is "Helicoascotaiwania sp. MR-2019a partial large subunit ribosomal RNA". It matches the Rfam family "Eukaryotic large subunit ribosomal RNA", at positions 1 to 1725 of the family's 3401-position model. Lineage: Eukaryota; Fungi; Ascomycota; Sordariomycetes; Pleurotheciales; Pleurotheciaceae. The record is from RNAcentral.